CCCUUAGAUGUUCUGGGCUGCACGCGUGCUACAAUGGCGUUUCCAGCAAGUCUGCGAACCCGAGAGGGCCAGCGGAUCUUCGAAUUGGCGUCGUGAUCGGGACAGUCGAUUGCAAUUAUUUGACUCAAACGAGGAAUUCCUUGUAAUCGCGAUUCAUCAUAUCGCGCUGAAUACGUCCCUGCCCUUUGUACACACCGCCCGUCGCUCCUACCGAUUGAAUGUUCCGGUGAGCUCUUCGGACUGCGCGGUCUGCAGUUUCUGCGUUCCGUGCGGAAAGUUGCGCAAACCUUAACAUUUAGAGGAAGGAGAAGUCGUAACA
This 319-nucleotide ribosomal RNA is filed under the name uncultured eukaryote. Its description in RNAcentral is "partial 18S ribosomal RNA". It matches the Rfam family "Eukaryotic small subunit ribosomal RNA", at positions 1470 to 1796 of the family's 1831-position model. The record is from RNAcentral.